RNAcentral lists this ribosomal RNA (497 nucleotides) under uncultured bacterium. Its description in RNAcentral is "partial 16S ribosomal RNA". It matches the Rfam family "Bacterial small subunit ribosomal RNA", at positions 28 to 507 of the family's 1533-position model. The record is from RNAcentral.
GAUGAACGCUGGCGGCGUGCCUAAUACAUGCAAGUCGAGCGAACAGACGAGGAGCUUACUCCUCUGACGUUAGCGGCGGACGGGUGAGUAACACGUGGAUAACCUACCUAUAAGACUGGGAUAACUUCGGGAAACCGGAGCUAAUACCGGAUAACAUUUUGAACCGCAUGGUUCAACAGUGAAAGACGGUCUUGCUGUCACUUAUAGAUGGAUCCGCGUCGCAUUAGCUAGUUGGUAAGGUAACGGCUUACCAAGGCAACGAUGCGUAGACGACCUGAGAGGGUGAUCGGCCACACUGGAACUGGGACACGGUCCAGACUCCUACGGGAGGGAGCAGUAGGGAAUCUUCGGCAGUGGGCGAGAGCAUGACGGAGCAACGCCGCGUGAGUGAAGAAGGUCUUCGGAUCGUAAAACUCUGUUAUUAGGGAAGAACAAAUGUGUAAGUAAAUAUGCACGUAUUGACGGUACCUAAUCAGAAAGCAACGGCUAACUACGUG